CCCAGCCACCAUGCUGUGAGGAGACUCAGCUACCUGAAGAGGCCACACACUGCUGCUCCAAGUGACAGUUUCAGAGUGCAGUCAUCAGAGAGCUCACAGUUUCAAAGCACACUCUUCCAAAUGACAAGAGUCGCCAGCAGAUUUUAAGUGGAUUUGAGAUGUCUAUCGAGGGAAUUUUGAGGCUAUAUGAAAAUAUUUACUGAGCAUCUCCUUUGAACAAGACUCGACUCUAGGCACAGAGGACCAUAUAAGAUAGAGACAAGACUCUGUGGUGAAAGAGCUGUGGACUAACAACACCAGUCACCACCUAACUGCUGAGUGCUGAAUGCUGGCCAUGGACAGCAUCCUAUGGAGUCACUGCUAAGUCCACUGGAUAGAAGGAGAUGAACACGU
Long non-coding RNA from Zalophus californianus (California sea lion), 393 nucleotides. RefSeq lists it as uncharacterized. The record is from RefSeq and is a predicted model, not a curated record. The transcript is spliced from 3 exons. NCBI's taxonomy places the organism in Eukaryota, Metazoa, Chordata, Mammalia, Carnivora, Otariidae.